Non-coding RNA from Cinara cedri, 411 nucleotides. NCBI's taxonomy places the organism in Eukaryota, Metazoa, Arthropoda, Insecta, Hemiptera, Aphididae. The record is from the annotation of a GenBank genome assembly.
AUCGUUUGGGAUACACAAAAACCUGUUUAGUCCUUGGAAUUUCCCCUUCUUGAUUAAACGACCUAUAUAAACACCGGCGAUGAAAACUACUACAACUUAAUAAACUUCAUGUUAAUCGUCCACGUCAAAUAAGAAAACACGUUGAGCUCUCUCUUGUCCUUCAAUGCGACCCUCUACAUUAAUUAUUAUGAAAUUUCUGACCCAUCGACGUGAAAAAUGUUAUCGCGAGACGAAAUUAAUUUUUACAUUCUGAAUGUGGCGUUAAGGAUAUUAGUUUUAUUAAGAUGCGGGGGUCUUUUUUUCUCAAAAAACAUUAUUUCAUUCGGUUAAGUAUAGUAAAAAAUACUCCUAUUUUUUCACGUAGUACCAUAAAAGAUGCGGCAUUUCCUAACCAUACUUGAAUCGCUUGUU